GAUGAACGCUGGCGGCGUGCCUAAUACAUGCAAGUCGAACGAAACUUCUUUAUCACCGAGUGCUUGCACUCACCGAUAAAGAGUUGAGUGGCGAACGGGUGAGUAACACGUGGGCAACCUGCCCAAAAGAGGGGGAUAACACUUGGAAACAGGUGCUAAUACCGCAUAACCAUAGUUACCGCAUGGUAACUAUGUAAAAGGUGGCUAUACUACCGCUUUUGGAUGGGCCCGCGGCGCAUUAGCUAGUUGGUAGGGUAAAGGCUUACCAAGGCAAUGAUGCGUAGCCGAAUUGAGAGGUUGAUCGGCCACAUUGGGACUGAGACACGGCCCAAACUCCUACGGGAGGCAGCAGUAGGGAAUAUUCCACAAUGGGCGAAAGCCUGAUGGAGCAACGCCGCGUGGGUGAAGAAGGUCUUCGGAUCGUAAAGCCCUGUUGUUAGAGAAGAAAGUGCGUGAGAGUAACUGUUCACGUUUCGACGGUAUCUAACCAGAAAGCCACGGCUAACUACGUG
Molecule: ribosomal RNA, 512 nt
Filed under: uncultured bacterium
Lineage: Bacteria
Description: partial 16S ribosomal RNA
Rfam family: Bacterial small subunit ribosomal RNA
Source: RNAcentral